Molecule: ribosomal RNA, 1952 nt
Filed under: human gut metagenome
Description: bacterial LSU rRNA
Rfam family: Bacterial large subunit ribosomal RNA
Source: RNAcentral
UUAAGCGACUAAGCGUACACGGUGGAUGCCCUGGCAGUCAGAGGCGAUGAAGGACGUGCUAAUCUGCGAAAAGCGUCGGUAAGGUGAUAUGAACCGUUAUAACCGGCGAUGUCCGAAUGGGGAAACCCAGUGCAAUUCGUUGCACUAUCGUUUGAUGAAUACAUAGUCAAACGAGGCGAACCGGGGGAACUGAAACAUCUAAGUACCCCGAGGAAAAGAAAUCAACCGAGAUUCCCCCAGUAGCGGCGAGCGAACGGGGAGCAGCCCAGAGUCUGAAUCAGCUUGUGUGUUAGUGGAAGCGUCUGGAAAGUCGCAGGGUACAGGGUGAUACUCCCGUACACUAAAACACACAGGUUGUGAACUCGAAGAGUAGGGCGGGACACGUGGUAUCCUGUCUGAAUAUGGGGGGACCAUCCUCCAAGGCUAAAUACUCCUGACUGACCGAUAGUGAACCAGUACCGUGAGGGAAAGGCGAAAAGAACCCCGGCGAGGGGAGUGAAAAAGAACCUGAAACCGUGUACGUACAAGCAGUGGGAGCCUCUUUAUGGGGUGACUGCGUACCUUUUGUAUAAUGGGUCAGCGACUUAUAUUCUGUAGCAAGGUUAACCGAAUAGGGGAGCCGAAGGGAAACCGAGUCUUAACUGGGCGUUAAGUUGCAGGGUAUAGACCCGAAACCCGGUGAUCUAGCCAUGGGCAGGUUGAAGGUUGGGUAACACUAACUGGAGGACCGAACCGACUAAUGUUGAAAAAUUAGCGGAUGACUUGUGGCUGGGGGUGAAAGGCCAAUCAAACCGGGAGAUAGCUGGUUCUCCCCGAAAGCUAUUUAGGUAGCGCCUCGUGAACUCAUCUUCGGGGGUAGAGCACUGUUUCGGCUAGGGGGUCAUCCCGACUUACCAACCCGAUGCAAACUGCGAAUACCGAAGAAUGUUAUCACGGGAGACACACGGCGGGUGCUAACGUCCGUCGUGAAGAGGGAAACAACCCAGACCGCCAGCUAAGGUCCCAAAGUCAUGGUUAAGUGGGAAACGAUGUGGGAAGGCACAGACAGCCAGGAUGUUGGCUUAGAAGCAGCCAUCAUUUAAAGAAAGCGUAAUAGCUCACUGGUCGAGUCGGCCUGCGCGGAAGAUGUAACGGGGCUAAACCAUGCACCGAAGCUGCGGCAGCGACACUAUGUGUUGUUGGGUAGGGGAGCGUUCUGUAAGCCGUUGAAGGUGGCCUGUGAGGGUUGCUGGAGGUAUCAGAAGUGCGAAUGCUGACAUAAGUAACGAUAAUGCGGGUGAAAAACCCGCACGCCGGAAGACCAAGGGUUCCUGUCCAACGUUAAUCGGGGCAGGGUGAGUCGACCCCUAAGGCGAGGCCGAAAGGCGUAGUCGAUGGGAAACAGGUUAAUAUUCCUGUACUUGGUGUUACUGCGAAGGGGGGACGGAGAAGGCUAUGUUAGCCGGGCGACGGUUGUCCCGGUUUAAGCAUGUAGGCGGAGAUUCCAGGUAAAUCCGGAGUCUUGUUAACGCUGAGGUGUGAUGACGAGGCACUACGGUGCUGAAGUAACAAAUGCCCUGCUUCCAGGAAAAGCCUCUAAGCAUCAGGUAACACAAAAUCGUACCCCAAACCGACACAGGUGGUCAGGUAGAGAAUACCAAGGCGCUUGAGAGAACUCGGGUGAAGGAACUAGGCAAAAUGGUGCCGUAACUUCGGGAGAAGGCACGCUGAUAUGUAGGUGAAGUGAUUUACUCAUGGAGCUGAAAUCAGUCGAAGAUACCAGCUGGCUGCAACUGUUUAUUAAAAACACAGCACUGUGCAAACACGAAAGUGGACGUAUACGGUGUGACGCCUGCCCGGUGCCGGAAGGUUAAUUGAUGGGGUUAUCCGUAAGGAGAAGCUCUUGAUCGAAGCCCCGGUAAACGGCGGCCGUAACUAUAACGGUCCUAAGGUAGCGAAAUUCCUUGUCGGGU